Molecule: ribosomal RNA, 885 nt
Filed under: Triticum aestivum (bread wheat)
Lineage: Eukaryota; Viridiplantae; Streptophyta; Magnoliopsida; Poales; Poaceae
Description: partial small subunit ribosomal RNA
Source: RNAcentral
AUGCAGGAAAGCAGGGGGUCUUUUGCAAAAAUGAUGCACGGGAACGGCUGCGACGACGCUUCCUGCGCCGUGUGCCGGAGCUGCAGGUCGAGGCCGACGAAGUGGGGCUGCCCUGGCUCCUGGAGGUCGGCGUCCCUCAGGCUGCUGCUGGUGGCCGGCGGCUGCGAAGGUGGUUGGACCGGCGAGUCCGGGCCGGCCGGCCGGGGAGGAGUGGGAGCUUGGCGGAGAAGUCGGCGUUGGUGGAGGAGGCCAACGGCGGCGUGGGCGGGAGCUCGAGACUGCCGUCCAUCGCGCACUCGUCGUCGUCCACGUAAGGGACUCUCACCGCCACAAUGCCGACGCCCGACGGCACCAUGGAGUACUGGCUCGAACCGGCCGAGCUUGCAACCCUGCACCGGGAGGUCGGCGACUCGGCGUCGAGUGUCGACCCGUACUGGGUGCCGCCUCCAUGGUGGAAGCGCGGAGAUCCGUGUCCGCGGACGGCUACACGCUCAAGGCAAAGGUGCAGGUGGAGGAGCUCACCAAGGAGCUCGCCGGAGUAAAAAAUCGGUGAAGGCACAUCAAGGCACAAUGAACAAUGAGGGGAAAUCUGAGGCAGUCAAAGCCUACAUUUCUCAUGAGACUUAUCAGGACAAGUAUGAGUGUGUGCUGAAGGCCAAUGGCAAUCUGGAAAAGCAGGUUCUAUCCUUGGAGGAGAAGUACGCGAACGCAACACGAGCGAAUGGCAAGCUGGAGGAGGAGGUUCUGUUCCUCAAGGAGAAGUAUGAGGCAAUGCUUGAGAAAAACACCAGGCUGGAGGGGCAUGUGGCUGCUCUGUCCACUUCUUUCCUACUCCAGUUGAUUGCUAGUAGCUGCACUUUAUCAACUGCACCAGUUGCAUCAUAA